GUUUCCCUGCCUGGUUCGCCAUGGCCAUUAAUUCCUUGAACCGAUAAGCAUUUGCUUGGUGCGGGAUAUGCCGUGUGGGCGAGCGCGUCUUCCAGCGCAUAGCGUGCGACGCAAGUCGUGUGCUCCCUGUGCCGGUGAUGUACCCAAAAUGCGGCUUCCGCUGCCACUCUGAACCUCACUUGGGUUCAGGAUGCGGGUCUAGCGGCCAAGGUGGGGACCCA
This 221-nucleotide non-coding RNA is filed under the name Ralstonia insidiosa. RNAcentral's name for it is "6S RNA". It matches the Rfam family "6S / SsrS RNA". Rfam says of the family: E. coli 6S RNA was the first non coding RNA to be sequenced, but its function was unknown until recently. Lineage: Bacteria; Pseudomonadati; Pseudomonadota; Betaproteobacteria; Burkholderiales; Burkholderiaceae. The record is from RNAcentral. RNAcentral also lists the same sequence under 2 other names.